GGGGCAGUGGCCAAGCUGGUUAAGGCAGUGAGCUCAUAACUCAACGAUUCGCGGGUUCGAGUCCCGCCUGCCCCACCA
RNAcentral lists this transfer RNA (78 nucleotides) under Microbacterium sp. MEC084. Its description in RNAcentral is "tRNA-Ile". It matches the Rfam family "tRNA". From Rfam's summary of the family: Transfer RNA (tRNA) molecules are approximately 80 nucleotides in length. The record is from RNAcentral. Lineage: Bacteria; Bacillati; Actinomycetota; Actinomycetes; Micrococcales; Microbacteriaceae.